This is a long non-coding RNA of Vidua chalybeata, 480 nucleotides long. RefSeq lists it as uncharacterized. The record is from RefSeq and is a predicted model, not a curated record. The transcript has 3 exons. NCBI's taxonomy places the organism in Eukaryota, Metazoa, Chordata, Aves, Passeriformes, Viduidae.
CAGUGCCACCCCAGUGCCAGCUGGCCCAUCCUCCCUGCAGCACCCCACUGCUCCCCACAUGCCCAUUUCACCAAGGUGCCAGCAGGCUGGGACACACCAGCACAGCUCGUGGCUGCCAGAUUCCACCCCAUCCCUCUGUCCUGUCCCCCAUCCCCAUGCCACACCUCAGGGGUGAUGGUGGCACCGCCAUGAUGCCUGUUCCCCCUCGGUGGCGCACGGAGCCAUGGGCGCGAGUGCUCCGUGAUACAUCAUUUACCCACGGACAGGUUUACUGACCCAUUUCCAUUCACACGGCUGCCAGUAUCUUAGCAACUGCAACAGUCCCCCAAGAACAGGCAUAUUGCCUGCUAUUAGUGACUGCUGCAACUGUGUCAAGGAAAUCCCAGCCAAAAGUCCUUGGAGGCUGGGAGAGUCCUUGGACGUGUCCAGACCUGCUCAGCCCGGCUCCUCCCAGGCACCAGUGGCGGCUGUGGGGGACGG